Molecule: ribosomal RNA, 253 nt
Filed under: uncultured bacterium
Lineage: Bacteria
Description: partial 16S ribosomal RNA
Rfam family: Bacterial small subunit ribosomal RNA
Source: RNAcentral
UACGAAGGGGGCUAGCGUUGGUCGGAUUUACUGGGCGUAAAGCGCACGUAGGCGGCUUGUUAAGUCGGGGGUGAAAUCCUGGAGCUCAACUUCAGAAUUGCCUUCGAUACUGGCUUUCUAGAGGCUGGAAGAGGUUAGUGGAAUUCCCAGUGUAGAGGUGAAAUUCGUAGAUAUUCGCAAGAACACCAGUGGCGAAGGCGGCUUACUGGUCCGGAUCUGACGCUGAGGCGCGAAAGCGUGGGGAGCAAACAGG